UUAACACAUGCAAGUCGAGCGGAAAGGCCCCUUCGGGGGUACUCGAGCGGCGAACGGGUGAGUAACACGUGGGUAAUCAACCCUUGACAUCGGGAUACCCCGGGGAAACCCGGAUCAAUACCGGAUAAGGUGCGGAGGCGCAGGCCGCCGUACCAAAGAUAGCUUCGGCUUUCGGUCAAGGACGAGCCCGCGGCCCAUUAGCUUGUUGGUGGGGUAAUGGCCUACCAGGGCGACGAUGGGUAGCUGGUCUGAGAGGACGAUCAGCCACACUGGGACUGAGACACGGCCCAGACUCC
Molecule: ribosomal RNA, 296 nt
Filed under: unidentified marine bacterioplankton
Lineage: Bacteria
Description: partial 16S ribosomal RNA
Rfam family: Bacterial small subunit ribosomal RNA
Source: RNAcentral